This 406-nucleotide ribosomal RNA is filed under the name uncultured bacterium. RNAcentral's name for it is "bacterial SSU rRNA". It matches the Rfam family "Bacterial small subunit ribosomal RNA", at positions 30 to 429 of the family's 1533-position model. The record is from RNAcentral.
AGUGAACGCUGGCGGCAGGCCUAAUACAUGCAAGUCGAACGGCAGCACAGCAGAGCUUGCUCUGUGGGUGGCGAGUGGCGGGACGGGUGAGGAAUACAUGGGAAUCUGCCCAGUCGUGGGGGAUAACGUAGGGAAACUUACGCUAAUACCGCAUGCGCCCUUCGGGGAAAGCCGGGGACCUUCGGGCCUGGCGCGAUUGGAUGAGCCCAUGUCGGAUUAGCUAGUUGGCGGGGUAAUGGCCCACCAAGGCGACGAUCCGUAGCUGGUCUGAGAGGAUGAUCAGCCACACUGGAACUGAGACACGGUCCAGACUCCUACGGGAGGCAGCAGUAGGGAAUAUUGGACAAUGGGGCGCAAGCCUGAUCCAGCCAUGCCGCGUGAGUGAAGAAGGCCCUCGGGUUGUAAA